Molecule: ribosomal RNA, 422 nt
Filed under: uncultured archaeon
Lineage: Archaea
Description: partial 16S ribosomal RNA
Rfam family: Archaeal small subunit ribosomal RNA
Source: RNAcentral
CUACGGGUGGCUCCAGGCGCGAAACCUUUACAAUGCACGCAAGUGUGAUAAGGGGAUCCCCAGUGCUCAUGUAUUGCAUGGGCUUUUGCCAAGUGUAAAUAGCUUGGCGAAUAAGUGGUGGGUAAGACUGGUGCCAGCCGCCGCGGUAACACCAGCGCCACGAGUGGUAACCGCGAUUAUUGGGCCUAAAGCGUCCGUAGCCGGUCUUGUAAAUCCUUUGUGAAAUUGCUCGGCUCAACCGAUCAGCGCGCAAGGGACACUGCAAGACUCGAGACCGGGAGGAGUCAGAAGUAUUCCAGGGGGAGCGGUAAAAUGUUAUAAUCCCUGGAGGACCACCUGUGGCGAAGGCGUCUGACCAGAACGGAUCUGACGGUGAGGGACGAAAGCCAGGGGAGCGAACCGGAUUAGAUACCCGGGUAGUC